UUCAAAUAUCAGAGUGCAUUUGAGUCAACCAGUUGUGCGCACACAGAGGAAACAAGCUUCUGAGAAAUAAUGUCAGGAUCACUGGUGACAACCACUAUUGGUCAAAAGUAACUUUUUCAGUGUCUCCUGGUGGUGCCUAAACUUUUCCCACGAGUUUUGUCUUUAUAUGCAGGCAUCAGAUAAAAUUCGACUACUUUAAUACGAUUAAACCAUCAUGAGCCAUCAACGUAUUAGCUCUGUGGGAAGCUGCUUUCUGGAGUGAGUAUUGUGGAGUGAGAAAGGAGCGAAAACUCUAGAACCAAGAGACCAAAAGUGGCCAUUUACUGAGGUCCAUUUAAAGCCACUUCCUGAGGACCUGCUAAAGACCACUCUUUCAAGGCUUUCAAGAGUUACCCUGCAACGGCCAGGCAUUGGCACCGAGAAGAACAAGACGUCUGCUGAACUGGAGUGACUGGGAACAUAGCACGUGGGAGGCUACUCUGCAGCUGGGCUCUUGUGUUGGGCCAAAGAGCUAAUGGGGUUUUGGCUUCCUAAAACAUCUCUGUUGAAACUCCCUGGGGAAUUUUGCUUUAUGAAAUUCCCAGCAACUUGGGAUCCCAGUGGGUUGGUGAUUAGGAGCCUGGAGGGCUCCCUGCUGGGUGAAAAAAAAUGUGUUUGAAGUCCAAUGGGAAGGGCUGUAGGAGGGAGUUGAUGAUUUCUCCCUAACUCCUACUGUGUAUUGACAGAAGCUGUCCCUACCACUGUUAAUUGCCAAUUACUUUUGUCUCGAGAGCCAAAGAAAAUAUAUUUGAAGUGAACCCCUUGAAAUAUACCCAUUUUCCACUAGGAUCCACAGAUGGUGAAAUAUUAAUAAAUAGGUGGGUUGCAGAAUACUUUAAGAUUGCAUUAGAAUUGAUAUUUGUGGGCUUUAUUAACACCAGAGGUGCUGACAUAUAUUCUGAUAUGGCUAGCAGAUCCAGAAGCCAUUAAUAUCAACACAGAGCAAAUUC
Long non-coding RNA from Hipposideros armiger (great roundleaf bat), 989 nucleotides. RefSeq lists it as uncharacterized. The record is from RefSeq and is a predicted model, not a curated record. The transcript is spliced from 3 exons. Lineage: Eukaryota; Metazoa; Chordata; Mammalia; Chiroptera; Hipposideridae.